RNAcentral lists this ribosomal RNA (253 nucleotides) under uncultured bacterium. RNAcentral's name for it is "partial 16S ribosomal RNA". It matches the Rfam family "Bacterial small subunit ribosomal RNA", at positions 524 to 776 of the family's 1533-position model. The record is from RNAcentral.
UACGGAGGGUGCUAGCGUUGUUCGGAAUUACUGGGCGUAAAGGGCGCGUAGGCGGCCGUUUGCGUCGGAUGUGAAAGCCCGGGGCUCAACCUCGGAACGGCAUUCGAUACGGGACGGCUAGAGACCGGGAGAGGAGAGUGGAAUAGCCAGUGUAGAGGUGAAAUUCGUAGAUAUUGGCUGGAACACCGGUGGCGAAAGCGGCUCUCUGGCCCGGUUCUGACGCUGAGGCGCGAAAGCGUGGGGAGCAAACAGG